Gadus chalcogrammus (walleye pollock) is the source of this 3726-nucleotide long non-coding RNA. RefSeq lists it as uncharacterized. The record is from RefSeq and is a predicted model, not a curated record. NCBI's taxonomy places the organism in Eukaryota, Metazoa, Chordata, Actinopteri, Gadiformes, Gadidae. The transcript has 3 exons.
CCCCAACCCAUCCUCCCGUUUUUUUUAUUAUUAUUGCAAACAUGUUUGUAAGAAUCUUCCUUUUUUUGUAGAAUUUAAUAAUCUUUCAGUUUUUGUAUUGUAUUUUUUACUUUGUAAGAUAGAUGUAUCAGUUUUUACUUUUGGAAUGCUUUUUGUUUGUUUGUUUACAUUGUUUAAAUUGAAGAAAGCUCAAUUUAGAUGCCAGGAACAAAGUGAGGUGUACCCCUUUUAUUUUAAAUGGAUUUGUGUCCGGUGCUUGGAUGUUAGAAAUGCCAAUAUUUUCUACCAGCAGCACAAAAUUGCUAUGCUUUUUCAAAAUACGUUUCGAAAAAUGUACUAUAACACGAGGCAUAGUGGAAAUCUUCUGCCGCUUGCAAGUUGGGUGUCAUAAUACAUACUUUUGUUGAACAUUUUCUUCACCAAAGCCCCACUCUUCCUUUGACUGAAGUCCCGGCCCAUAUCAAUUACUGACUCUUGUUAGGUACGUUUGUUGUGUACAAUCUGCUUAAUAUUCCUAGUUUCAUUAUGACAGCAUAUGAAACAUAUAAACAAAUCAAAAGGGUGGCCUUAGUCUUUUCCUGACUUUGGGAGUUUUGAUAAUGGUUGCUCACUAGUGCCUGAAUACCUGUCUACUACACAGUGAAAGACUACUAGGUUGUACCUUUUUAUAAAAACAUGUAUUUAAAAAAAAAAAAAAAAAGAUUUACUUAGGACAUUUGACAUUGUCUCAGCACAUCAAAAUGAACAAUUCAAUUUACAUCCCAGCUCAUCAAAAUGAACAAUUAAACUUACAUCUCAGUGCAUCAAAAUGAACAAUGACACUUCAUGGCACUGAUUUCUGUCAGUUCGUGAAGUAAGAUAUAGUUAAUGAAUUUAUAGGAUAGGGGAAAACACCCCGAUUACAUCAUGUUUUUAACUUGGUAAGAGGACCCUAACGACUAUUUCAAACGUAUCUAGUAUGUACUGAAUUUAUUUAAGAAAUAUAUCUUCAUCCCUGAUGGCAUGUGCAUUAUAUAUGUACAGCGGUAUGUCCACAUCAGUUUUAUUGUUGUAAACGGAUACUGAUAUGUAACAGUGUUUUGUAUACCAAUAUUGGUCAUUUUGUCCGUUUGUUUCAUGCUCGCCCGAUGGAGCAGCGCUGUCAAUUCUCCCAAACUCCUGUCCCGCACACCCGACUUAUCUGGGUGCGCUUUUGGUCCGAUGUAUGAAAGUGAAAUUACACAUUGCUACAUUUCAUUUACCUUUAUGAGAAAGAUUUCUACAGUAUAUUCUGUGUUCCAAGACACACAAGAUAUUUUGUGUUAUUUUUUUGGCGGGGGAAGACCAACUCAACCUACUCUUGUACACAAUAGAUACACUGCUCCACAAGCCACUGUCUCAUCAUCAUAUUUGGGGACACUAUGUAUGUAAGGUAUGUCCUCAAAGUGCCUCCAGUUUCCUAUUUUUUAUAUAUAAAGUAGAUAUUGAGAGCUGUCGUGUAUAUAACAGUAAUGUAGCAAUAAAUGUGCCAUUUUUAAUAACAAUACAUACAUUUUCCAAUGUCUUGUUUGAGCUAAAUGGAAAAAAAUACUAAUAAAUGGUUACAUAAGGCUUUUCUCUGCUAUGGACAACGGCAAAGGUAAUGUUUUGCUUUGUAUAGGGUAAAUUGACUUUCUAUAAUACUUAGUUAUUUUUAUUAAUUCAGUAAUUUCGGUUCUGUGUUUUUCUAAUUUACUGAGCUGCACUGCAUAGGCCUUCAUAUAAAAUCAACUGCAGUAUACUGCAAAUGGACAUUAGUUAAAUGAUCCCAAUACAUUACAAAUAUUAUCUAGCGAUCAGCUAACCAUGUCUUUGUCUUACAUGGUUCCAUGUUAACUUCAAUAAUAGGCCUACUAAAAUAAACCUUUGCGAGGUAUUACUUUCAUCAAACUAAAAGGUGACAGCCAACUGGUGUUUACAGAAGAUUUGUUGCGCGUGCGCAAUGAGGCCUGGGCGCUAGUAUAUAUAAAGUUUCGACCUUCGAUACUUUCGCUUGCUUUGUUUACGUGGCGGAACAAACUAAAUUGACUUCUAAAUUCACCGGGAAGAAGAAAGUGUGCAUCGCCAAUCCUGAGUCGCCUACAUGGCUUUUAAGGGGACGGUGGGAGAUGUGGUUCACCUUACCUACUGGACUAUCAACAGCAAGCAAAUUCACGGGAAAUUACGAGUAGUUUAUGACACAGUAGGUGCACAACCUGCAACCAUACCUGUUUGAGCCAUGAGCGCAGCUAGCUCCAGAAUCAGCCUACAGGGCAGAGGCUAUGGAUGAGCAGGACUGAGCAGGAAGUGAGCUACUGGUAUUCGCAAUGUAUUUUAUUUUAGACAAGACUAUUGGAAAAAUGUUAUCAGUAUGUUUACAUGUAUUCCUUUUGACAAAUAUUCCUAAGUAUUUAUAUCAAUGUUUGACGAGGUGAGUAACACAAUUAUAUGACCACUCCGCUGAUAUAUCCUACAUGCCUUCGUUAAUAUCAUAGAUCAAAAGAUUGCACUUUUUUUAGACAUUGUGUUGUGGAUACAUUCUCCAGACCAAAAUAAAUGCUGCAAUGUGAUGCCAAAGGUAUGCCAGGUUAUUGUUAUUUAAGUCACGUCUCAGUGCCUUGGAAAGGGCACUCAGACGUCACUAAAAGAACGCCACCUGUGUUUCCAGAAGAGUGGCCCGUUCAAAUUGUCAUUUGGUGAGAAAAAAAAUAGGAUUUUACUUUUCUUUUUGUUAUUUUGGUAACAGUGAUGCAAUAGUAUAGCUAUCUGUGUUGAUGAUCAUGUUCAAUGUUACAACAAUUACAAUGUUUAAAACCAAAAAAAUGGUUUUGGGUUCACCGGCUUUUCAAGACUGCCUCUCAACUACAUUUAAUAGGUAUAUUUAAUUGGGGACACCUUUAUUUAGGAAACCUUGUUAUUGUGUGGAUCUUAUCCUUGGAAGUUAACUUAAUGUAAUCUUGUAUUUUAGUCAUUUUAGUUCAAGUUUAAGAAUAACUUUGCCAUGGUUUGGCACACACUGACAUUGCUGCAAGUUUAUCUUGGGAGAAGUGUAUACCUUUUGUGAAUGCAGCAGACAAUGAGGAUGUGAUGAAUUUUCUUGACAUUUUGUCUUAACUGCAUCUGACCUGGAGGGUGAACACUUAUGGAAGCACGUGUGUGCUGCAGAGUGUGUUCCACCAAGCCCAACCGCAGACCUGAAACAGAGGCGGUCACAGCCAUGUCGUACCCGCAACCAACAUCAAUAGCCUUUCCAUCUCGUCAAGGACAUCUUAACCACAGUUGAUACCUCAUUUGUUUUUACAUGACCUCAAGCGGUGAGUGGGACGGUGAAAUAGUCAUUUGAAUAAGUGUAUUUGGCGUUUGCAAUUCUUCUUAUCUAUCAUGUGUAAUGUGAUAUGUUGUUCCCGUGCCUUAUGGGCCAGUGACAUUCGAGUCACCUCACUGAGAGGGAUGCAUGAAUUAAAACAUAGGCUACAUAUGCAUUGACUGGUUAAAUCUUCCAUAAAAUGCUUACAUCCUGUGCAGUAAAAUCGAACAUUUUGGAAAGGCAAUGACCGAAAUGCAGAAAAAAACGUUUCAGAUAUUGUAUAUAUUUUAUUAUAUUUAAGUUAGGCUAUAUUUAGUUUUUGGUAAAGGCUGAGGAAUAUUUUUAGCAGUCACCUAUAUUUGAUCUUUAUGGAUAUUUGGUGCAUUUGUGUAGUGUUAAACAAAGUCCGCUUAUGAGUAUUU